Molecule: long non-coding RNA, 1018 nt
Organism: Neltuma alba
Lineage: Eukaryota; Viridiplantae; Streptophyta; Magnoliopsida; Fabales; Fabaceae
Exons: 3
Source: RefSeq, a predicted model, not a curated record
UAUAUAUAUCUAUUUUCUUUCCUAAAUUUCAAGAGUUUCUUUAAUUCCCAUUAUUUCUUCAUCGUCUUUGUCGUCUUCAUCUUCUUCGAUUCUCUUCUGGCUCAGGUGGGUUUUUCCUUUGAAUCAAAGGGUUUUUCAGAACGGGGAAAUCUUUGGGGGGCUCGGAGGCGGAUUCAAUUAUGGCGUCCCCAAGAUCAGGAGUUUCCGGAUCAACUGAUUCAGUAACAGCUGCGAGAAGACAGACCAAGCGACCCAAGUUGUAGUUUCUGAUAUCUGAUCAUAUGUCUUGCUUUAUUAACCUUAAUUUUUGUGAUUAAAUUAUGAUUUUUUGAUGCUGGUCUCGUGUAUAUCCCUUGAAAUGCGUGAUUGGAUUCUUGGAAAGAGGAAGGUCGCUAGUUUUCACCUUGGUUUUUGGAGAGUUGAUAGUAUCUUGAUCUUCAAAUGACGGCAUCGUGCAAGCCAAUUCUUGCACGAGAAGGUCAGGUUGUUGAUAGGUAUAUAUGGGUCUACAUCGCUAUCAAGUAAUUACAUUGACAAGGUAGCUUUCAUCCAAAUUAAAGCUUUGCAUAUAAUUAAAGCUUUAAUUUGUUGAUAGAAAUUUCUCUUUAUAAUUGUCUGAUUAUGUUCAUAUCGUUUAUUAUGUUCUCGUGAAUAUGUUGUUCACACUAUAAUGUUUUAUUCCUUUAGAUAAGGUGGAAAAACAGAAGUCGCCUAUUUAUAUUUAUUACCAGGUGGACAACUUCUACCAGAAUAAUCGACAGUAUGUAUUUGAGCUACCUUGGCGGCUUAUCUUCAUGGGGGGCACAUAUCUACACACACAAACACACACACACACACAAAAGAACAAAUUUGAUCAAGUUUGUUUGCCCAUGUUAUUUUCUUUUCAAACCCAUGUCUCUGUGUUUUUUGUGUUCAAUUUUUUUCCCUUGUUGAUUUACCUGUGAACGCAACAGUGGCACUGUUUCUUGCCUCUUUGAGUUUUUGGGGAGAGGAAAAGUGAAAGUGGGGUAUUGUAAAA